RNAcentral lists this ribosomal RNA (421 nucleotides) under uncultured bacterium. RNAcentral's name for it is "partial 16S ribosomal RNA". It matches the Rfam family "Bacterial small subunit ribosomal RNA", at positions 360 to 773 of the family's 1533-position model. The record is from RNAcentral.
AAUUUUGGACAAUGGGGGCAACCCUGAUCCAGCCAUCCCGCGUGUGCGAUGAAGGCCUUCGGGUUGUAAAGCACUUUGGGCAGGGAGGAAAAGGCGCCGGAUACUACCUGGCGCUGCUGACGGUACCUGCAGAAUAAGCACCGGCUAACUCAGUGCCAGCAGCCGCGGUAAUACGAAGGGUGCAAGCGUUAAGCGGAAUUACUGGGCGUAAAGCGUGCGCAGGCGGUUCGGAAAGAAAGAUGUGAAAUCCCAGGGCUUAACCUUGGAACUGCAUUUUUAACUGCCGAGCUAGAGUAUGUCAGAGGGGGGUGGAAUUCCACGUGUAGCAGUGAAAUGCGUAGAGAUGUGGAGGAAUACCGAUGGCGAAGGCAGCCCCCUGGGAUAAUACUGACGCUCAUGCACGAAAGCGUGGGGAGCAAAC